GCCCUUAGAGUUUGAUCCUGGCUCAGAACGAACGCUGGCGGCAGGCCUAACACAUGCAAGUCGAGCGAGGACUUCGGUCCUAGCGGCGGACGGGUGAGUAACGCGUGGGAACGUGCCCCUUGGUACGGAAUAGUCCCGGGAAACUGGGUUUAAUACCGUAUGAGCUCUUCGGAGGAAAGAUUUAUCGCCAAGGGAUCGGCCCGCGUUGGAUUAGCUAGUUGGUGAGGUAAAGGCUCACCAAGGCGACGAUGGGUAGCCGGUCUGAGAGGAUGGUCGGCCACACUGGAACUGAGACACGGUCCAGACUCCUACGGGAGGCAGCAGUGGGGAAUUUUGCGCAAUGGGGGCAACCUUGACGCAGCGACGCCGCGUGAGCGAAGAAGGCCUUCGGGUUGUAAAGCUCUGUCUGGGGGGAAGAUAGUGACGGUACCCCCGGAGGAAGCCCCGGCUAACUACGUGCCAGCAGCCGCGGUAAGACGUAGGGGGCGAGCGUUGUCCGGAAUUACUGGGCGUAAAGGGCGUGUAGGCGGCCUGCCAAGUCAGCUGUGAAAUUCCUCGGCUUAACCGGGGCCCUGCGGUUGAACUGGUAGGCUUGAGUGCAGAGAGGAGGGUGGAUUCCCAGUGUAGCGGUGAAUGCGUAA
Molecule: ribosomal RNA, 641 nt
Filed under: uncultured low G+C Gram-positive bacterium
Lineage: Bacteria; Bacillati; Bacillota
Description: bacterial SSU rRNA
Rfam family: Bacterial small subunit ribosomal RNA
Source: RNAcentral